AUACAAAGUCUUGGCUUAUACUGCAAAGUUUGGGAUCCACAGUCUACAAAACCCCACAGCUCCUGAGAAUUCUCUCGCCUGCCUUCGGCCCUUAGGCUCUGGUAGAUUGCAAAUAACAUGCUUUCUUUCUGUUCCCGGGUGGCUUCGGACCCCUGUCGGAUCGGAAAUCCCAAGUAAGGUACCUGCCCUGGGCAGAUUUGAGCUUUCUUCUUGGACACCUAAUACCCACAGUCCUCCAGGCUGAGGUAGAUUGCAAAUGACCUGCUUUCUUUCUGUUCCUGGGUGCCUUCGGACCCCUGUCGGAUAGUAAAUCCCAAGUAAGGUACCUGCCGUCAGCAGAUUUGAGCUUUCUUCUUGGACACCUAAUACCCACAGUCCUCCAGGCUCCAGUAGAUUGCAAAUGACCUGCUUACUUUCUGUUCCCGGGCUGCGUUCUGACACCUGUCGGAUAGUAAAUCCCAAGUAAGGUACCAGCCGUCGGCAGAUUUGAGCUUUCUUCUUGGACACCUAUACCCACAGUCCUCCAGGAUAACUUCAGGAAGUGGGUAUUAAUUCUCACUGUAUAAGUGAAGACAUUAAGCACCAGAGUUUAAGUAGCUUGAUCCACUGAAAGAGAUUCAACUGUGUGGAACCUAUGCCGCGGAGAAUUGCUUUCUGCCAUUGUUAUUGUCCAGCAGUUGCCGAAUAGCUCUGACCUGAGCAAAGCAGUGAAACGCGGUGCUGUUGAGUGGGUUGCCACUGCACCUUUUUCAACUACUCUAGUCUUGUGGAGAAAACACCCCUUCUAAAUUUUUUCUUCAUUGAAUACUCUCCCUCAGCUCCAGGGUACCAUAUAGAGUUUUCUUGUAUUUUAGAGUUACUGUUUUAUCAAAGUGUACCAGUCUUUUGUAUUACAUUUCUCCUGUCUAAAUCAACUGUGUGGUUUCUACUCAUUAUGGAUAUAGAUUGACACAAACUCAAUAAAUAUUUUUGAAUGAAUAA
RNAcentral lists this long non-coding RNA (981 nucleotides) under Homo sapiens (human). RNAcentral describes it as "novel transcript". Lineage: Eukaryota; Metazoa; Chordata; Mammalia; Primates; Hominidae. The record is from RNAcentral.